GAUGAACGCUGGCUACAGGCUUAACACAUGCAAGUCGAGGGGAAACGACGGGGAAGCUUGCUUCCCCGGGCGUCGACCGGCGCACGGGUGAGUAACGCGUAUCCAACCUGCCUCUGACUGAGGGAUAACCCGUCGAAAGUCGGCCUAAUACCUCAUGGCAUCGUCUGCGGGCCUCCAACGACGAUUAAAGAUUUCAUCGGUCAGAGAUGGGGAUGCGUCUGAUUAGCUUGUUGGCGGGGUAACGGCCCACCAAGGCGACGAUCAGUAGGGGUUCUGAGAGGAAGGUCCCCCACAUUGGAACUGAGACACGGUCCAAACUCCUACGGGAGGCAGCAGUGAGGAAUAUUGGUCAAUGGGCGAGAGCCUGAACCAGCCAAGUAGCGUGCAGGAUGACGGCCCUAUGGGUUGUAAACUGCUUUUAUGCGGGGAUAAAGUGAGGGACGUGUCCUUCAUUGCAGGUACCGCAUGAAUAAGGACCGGCUAAUUCCGUG
This 491-nucleotide ribosomal RNA is filed under the name uncultured bacterium. Its description in RNAcentral is "partial 16S ribosomal RNA". It matches the Rfam family "Bacterial small subunit ribosomal RNA", at positions 28 to 507 of the family's 1533-position model. The record is from RNAcentral.